This is a non-coding RNA of Aromia moschata, 79 nucleotides long. Lineage: Eukaryota; Metazoa; Arthropoda; Insecta; Coleoptera; Cerambycidae. The record is from the annotation of a GenBank genome assembly.
GCCGCGGCGAUAGCUUAGUGAGUAUAGUCCGCCACGUGAGAAGAUAUUACCCGCGCGGGUUCGAAUCCCGCCUGUGGCA